Long non-coding RNA from Sardina pilchardus (European sardine), 500 nucleotides. RefSeq lists it as uncharacterized. The record is from RefSeq and is a predicted model, not a curated record. Lineage: Eukaryota; Metazoa; Chordata; Actinopteri; Clupeiformes; Clupeidae. The transcript is spliced from 4 exons.
UUUUAUUCCAAUCGACCAACUCCUCUGGCGUUUGCCCACGUGAUGAACGCGGAACAAGUGAAAUCGAAAGUACAUCUAAGGGACCGGUGUUCGGGCAAGAACAUUUCGGACGUUUUGUGAAGGAUGGAUUCUCCUCAAGAGGGAGAGGAUGCUGUUGGUGGAAAUCAGACAGGCAGAGCAGCAUGUGCCGUGUCCAGCCACGUGUCCCUGAAGGAUGACGAGUCCGUUACUGAUGGACAUCAGGGGGUCAGCACUGGAAGAUCUUAUCCAAGACCACAGACACACAGACCAGUGUCUCCAGUGCCCAGCUGUUUGUCCAUGAAGAGUGACUGGUCCAUGGAUCUCCCUCGCAAUUUCAGUAGUGAACCACCACAGUCUGAUCCAAAACCACAGACACACAGACCAGUGUCUCCAGUGCCCAGCUGUGUGUCCAUGAAGAGUGACUGGUCCAUAGAUCUCCCUCGCAAUUUCAAUACUGAACCACCACAAUCUGAUCCAAA